Molecule: ribosomal RNA, 883 nt
Filed under: uncultured bacterium
Lineage: Bacteria
Description: bacterial SSU rRNA
Rfam family: Bacterial small subunit ribosomal RNA
Source: RNAcentral
ACACAUGCAAGUCGAACGAGAGAGAAGGAGCUUGCUUCUUCGAUCGAGUGGCGAACGGGUGAGUAACGCGUGAGGAACCUGCCUCAAAGAGGGGGACAACAGUUGGAAACGACUGCUAAUACCGCAUAAGCCCACGGGUCGGCAUCGACCUGAGGGAAAAGGAGCAAUCCGCUUUGAGAUGGCCUCGCGUCCGAUUAGCCAGUUGGUGAGGUAACGGCCCACCAAGGCGACGAUCGGUAGCCGGACUGAGAGGUUGAACGGCCACAUUGGGACUGAGACACGGCCCAGACUCCUACGGGAGGCAGCAGUGGGGAAUAUUGCACAAUGGGGGAAACCCUGAUGCAGCGACGCCGCGUGGAGGAAGAAGGUCUUCGGAUUGUAAACUCCUGUUGUUGAGGAAGAUAAUGACGGUACUCAACAAGGAAGUGACGGCUAACUACGUGCCAGCAGCCGCGGUAAAACGUAGGUCACAAGCGUUGUCCGGAAUUACUGGGUGUAAAGGGAGCGCAGGCGGGAAGACAAGUUGGAAGUGAAAUCUAUGGGCUUAACCCAUAAACUGCUUUCAAAACUGUUUUUCUUGAGUAGUGCAGAGGUAGGCGGAAUUCCCGGUGUAGCGGUGGAAUGCGUAGAUAUCGGGAGGAACACCAGUGGCGAAGGCGGCCUACUGGGCACCAACUGACGCUGAGGCUCGAAAGUGUGGGUAGCAAACAGGAUUAGAUACCCUGGUAGUCCACACCGUAAACGAUGAUUACUAGGUGUUGGAGGAUUGACCCCUUCAGUGCCGCAGUUAACACAAUAAGUAAUCCACCUGGGGAGUACGACCGCAAGGUUGAAACUCAAAGGAAUUGACGGGGGCCCGCACAAGCAGUGGAGUAUGUGGUUU